Molecule: ribosomal RNA, 426 nt
Filed under: uncultured bacterium
Lineage: Bacteria
Description: partial 16S ribosomal RNA
Rfam family: Bacterial small subunit ribosomal RNA
Source: RNAcentral
GUGAGGAAUUUACCGCAAUGGGCGAAAGCCUGACGGAGCAAUGCCGCGUGAAGGAUGAAGGCCUAUGGGUUGUAAACUUCUUUUCUAAGAGAAGAAUAUUGACGGUAUCUGAGGAAUAAGCAUCGGCUAACUCUGUGCCAGCAGCCGCGGUAAGACAGAGGAUGCAAGCGUUAUCCGGAAUGAUUGGGCGUAAAGCGUCUGUAGGUGGCUUCAAAAGUCUCCUGUCAAAGAUCAGGGCUUAACCCUGGGCCGGCAGGAGAAACUCUGAGGCUAGAGUUUGGUAGGGGCAGAAGGAAUUCCCGGUGGAGCGGUGAAAUGCGUAGAGAUCGGGAGGAACACCAAAGGCGAAAGCACUCUGCUGGGCCACAACUGACACUGAGAGACGAAAGCGAGGGGAGCAAAAGGGAUUAGAAACCCUAGUAGUCC